UGCCUAGAAAUGAUGUAGGAACCGUUUUUUAUCCAGACUACAUAGAAAAGCUCAUUACAGAAACAAAUUUAUUAAGAUUUGAACAAGAACUCAAAAUCCAAAAGAGCAGAGUAAAAAUAAUGGAACUACGCAUCAUUUCGUCAGUUGUUAAACUGGAGAAAAAGUAUUUCAAUGAUAAGAUUGCACAGAAAGGUCAAAAGUUGUUGAAUCCAGUGAAAAACCUUCUUCCCAAAUUUCUUCAUAUCACUAUUGAGGAGAACCAUAAACAAAGAUUGAUUCACAGGGUUUCCGGAGAUGAAUGGGCUGAAGUUAAAUAUUUGGCUACUAAAAGUGUUAUACAAAAGCUGAUGAAAAUCAAUGAAGAGAAAAAUAAAACACUAGAAUGAAGUAUGGAAUAUCUAGAUUUUGAUGUUAACUGAAUGUAACUGCAAAGAAAUAAUCUACUUAUUAUGGGGAGCUAUCUGCUUUGUCGAUAAGUGUUAAAAUAAAAAAAAGUUUAUUAGUAAAAUGUUUAAAGUUAAGUUACUACUUUUAAGAGGAUAAUUUAGAAUGUGUAUUUUUUAUACUAUAUGAUUUUCUUUUAGUUGUUUGUUAUCAGGUGAUAAUAGUAAUGUUUCAACUGACAAUCUUUAAAUUCUUAUGAUUUAACUUUGUACCAUGUACUUAGUAUGUAUGUAGGUACUGUUCUUAUAAUUAUUAUAAGCUGGUAAAAAAAUAUGUAAAUAUUAUAUCUGUAGCAUUAACUAGCAUCAAAAUAAUUUACAUUAUACAACAAAAAAAGCGCAAUAAAAAAUUUAGAUUAUUUUUCAUUUUU
RNAcentral lists this unclassified non-coding RNA (814 nucleotides) under Diabrotica virgifera virgifera (western corn rootworm). RNAcentral describes it as "uncharacterized LOC114324447". Lineage: Eukaryota; Metazoa; Arthropoda; Insecta; Coleoptera; Chrysomelidae. The record is from RNAcentral.